UACGUAGGGUGCAAGCGUUGUCCGGAAUUAUUGGGCGUAAAGAGCUCGUAGGCGGUUUGUCGCGUCUGCUGUGAAAACUGGAGGCUCAACCUCCAGCCUGCAGUGGGUACGGGCAGACUAGAGUGCGGUAGGGGAGAUUGGAAUUCCUGGUGUAGCGGUGGAAUGCGCAGAUAUCAGGAGGAACACCGAUGGCGAAGGCAGAUCUCUGGGCCGUUACUGACGCUGAGGUGCGAAAGCGUGGGGGAGAAACAGG
Molecule: ribosomal RNA, 253 nt
Filed under: uncultured bacterium
Lineage: Bacteria
Description: partial 16S ribosomal RNA
Rfam family: Bacterial small subunit ribosomal RNA
Source: RNAcentral